RNAcentral lists this ribosomal RNA (492 nucleotides) under uncultured bacterium. RNAcentral's name for it is "partial 16S ribosomal RNA". It matches the Rfam family "Bacterial small subunit ribosomal RNA", at positions 29 to 507 of the family's 1533-position model. The record is from RNAcentral.
AGUGAACGCUGGCGGUAGGCCUAACACAUGCAAGUCGAACGGCAGCACAGUAAGAGCUUGCUCUUACGGGUGGCGAGUGGCGGACGGGUGAGGAAUACAUCGGAAUCUACUUUUUCGUUGGGGAUAACGUAGGGAAACUUACGCUAAUACCGCAUACGACCUACGGGUGAAAGCAGGGGAUCUUCGGACCUUGCGCGAUUGAAUGAGCCGAUGUCGGUUUAGCUAGUUGGCGGGGUAAAGGCCCACCAAGGCGACGAUCCGUAGCUGGUCUGAGAGGAUGAUCAGCCACACUGGAACUGAGACACGGUCCAGACUCCUACGGGAGGCAGCAGUGGGGAAUAUUGGACAAUGGGCGCAAGCCUGAUCCAGCCAUACCGCGUGGGUGAAGAAGGCCUUCGGGUUGUAAAGCCCUUUUGUUGGGAAAGAAAAGCAGCAGGUUAAUACCCCGCUGUUCUGACGGUACCCAAAGAAUAAGCACCGGCUAACUUCGUG